CAGAGAUGCUUUGGUGCCUUCGGGAACUCUGAGACAGGUGCUGCAUGGCUGUCGUCAGCUCGUGUUGUGAAAUGUUGGGUUAAGUCCCGCAACGAGCGCAACCCUUAUCCUUUGUUGCCAGCGAUUCGGUCGGGAACUCAAAGGAGACUGCCAGUGAUAAACUGGAGGAAGGUGGGGAUGACGUCAAGUCAUCAUGGCCCUUACGAGUAGGGCUACACACGUGCUACAAUGGCGCAUACAAAGAGAAGCGACCUCGCGAGAGCAAGCGGACCUCAUAAAGUGCGUCGUAGUCCGGAUUGGAGUCUGCAACUCGACUCCAUGAAGUCGGAAUCGCUAGUAAUCGUAGAUCAGAAUGCUACGGUGAAUACGUUCCCGGGCCUUGUACACACCGCCCGUCACACCAUGGGAGUGGGUUGCAAAAGAAGUAGGUAGCUUAACUUUCGGGAGGGCGCUUACCACUUUGUGAUUCAUGACUGGGGUGAAGUCGUAACAAGGUAGGCGUAGUGCU
This 508-nucleotide ribosomal RNA is filed under the name uncultured bacterium. Its description in RNAcentral is "bacterial SSU rRNA". It matches the Rfam family "Bacterial small subunit ribosomal RNA", at positions 1001 to 1509 of the family's 1533-position model. The record is from RNAcentral.